UGCCAGCCUAGGGUAGCUCCCGAAUUAGCGGUAUCCUCACCGCUUGGCUGGUAAAUUUAACGAGGG
RNAcentral lists this small RNA (66 nucleotides) under Osedax symbiont Rs2. RNAcentral's name for it is "int-alpA RNA". It matches the Rfam family "int-alpA RNA". Rfam says of the family: Acidobacteria (1 example), Planctomycetes (1 example), Proteobacteria. Environment (Lake Washington) Lineage: Bacteria; Pseudomonadati; Pseudomonadota; Gammaproteobacteria; Oceanospirillales; Oceanospirillaceae. The record is from Rfam by way of RNAcentral.